Trametes cinnabarina is the source of this 93-nucleotide transfer RNA. It matches the Rfam family "tRNA". From Rfam's summary of the family: Transfer RNA (tRNA) molecules are approximately 80 nucleotides in length. The record is from Rfam. Lineage: Eukaryota; Fungi; Basidiomycota; Agaricomycetes; Polyporales; Polyporaceae.
GCUGAUAUGGCCGAGUCGUUAAGGCGAGUGAUUUGAAUUCGUUUCAAUAUCACUUGGGCAUUGCCCGCGUAGGUUCAAAUCCUGCUGUCAGCG